UGCAGGCCUGAGGCAUUCUGGGAAGUUGUAUAGGAGACAAGAAGCAUCCUGGGAACAGUGGUGAGAAGGAAAUGGCAGAUGGCUGGUGCAACAAGGUGGCAGUGGCCAGGUCUAAGAUUCCCUGAGGAACCGUCUGAAGAGGUCAGGCAUGUUUAGUCUGAGCACCUGAGGGUGUGAAAACUAAGGCUUGGGAAGACUGAACAACCUAUUUGAGGUCCUGAAGCUGGUGAGUGGUAGAGCUGGCAUGUGAACCUGGGAUGGUCUGACUCCUACCCUAUUAGUCUCAACAUGCAAGACACACUGUCCUAAACUUUCUAGGGCAUAGAAACCCGCCAAGGAGCUGGUGGGGGAGACAGACAAACAGCCAAAAUAACUAUGCUGAGCAAAAUACUUAUGUGAGUCAUAUGUCUGUCUGGGAGGCAGACCUGCCACUUACUGCUGAACCCAGGAAGCUGUCUGAAAAUUAACUUCAAGGGAAACAAAUCUUUAGAAGAAAUUACAAAUAAAAUAACUUUGUUUCUCAAAA
Non-coding RNA from Heterocephalus glaber (naked mole-rat), 526 nucleotides. NCBI's taxonomy places the organism in Eukaryota, Metazoa, Chordata, Mammalia, Rodentia, Bathyergidae. The record is from RefSeq and is a predicted model, not a curated record.